GAUCCGGUAUUUCAGUCCGAUAUGAGAGAACAGUGGCAUAGUAUCUUAAUGUCAGGUGGAUCUGGACUGGUAAGCUACCGUUGCGAAGGCAUUGCCCAGGAUCUUUCGUUAUCCAGGACGGAGAUAGGGGAUCAGAGACAUCAGAUACGUUUCGUAGUCCAAUCUUUGACUAUGCCGACUAGGGAUGAUGGAACAUCACCAUUUCAGUACGUUAUGAGGAAUCGAAGUCCUUGGGUUCUGGGGGGAGUAUGGUCCGCCAAGACUGAGACCUUAAAGAAAUUGACGGAGGGCACCCACCCAGGAGUUGGAGCUGCGGCUUAAUUUGACUCACACGGGGAGACUUAGCCGGGUCCAGACAUAGUAAGGAUUGACAGAUUGAUAGCUCUUUCCUGAUACUAUGGGUGGUGGUGCAUGGCCCGUUCUUAGUUGGUGGAGUGAUUUGUCAGGUUGUUCCUUUUUCUUCUUUUUCCUUAUCCUGCUAACUAGAUAUUUUCAUUUUAUGAAUAUAUCUUCUUAGAGGGACUAUAUGCUUUAAGUAUAUGGAAGUUUGAGGCAAUAACAGGUCUGUGAUGCCCUUAUAUGUCCUGGGACUGCACGCGUGCUACACUGAUAUAUACAACAAGUGCCUAGCUAGAUACAGUAUGGCAAUCUCGAAUAUAUAUCGUGAUGGGGAUAGAUCUUUGCAAUUAUAGAUCUUGAACGAGGAAUUCCUAGUAAGUGCAAGUCAUCAUCUUGCAUUGAUUAUGUCCCUGCCCUUUGUACACACCGCCCGUCGCUCCUACCGAUACCGGGUGAUCCGGUGAACCUGUUGGACCCUUUUGGGAAAAAUAAGUAAAUCAUAUCACCUAGAGGAAGGAGAAGUCGUAACAAGGUUUCCUUUUGAACCUCAGAAGGACAUAAUCGGAUCCCGGCCCCUUUCUUUCCA
RNAcentral lists this ribosomal RNA (925 nucleotides) under uncultured rumen protozoa. RNAcentral's name for it is "bacterial SSU rRNA". It matches the Rfam family "Eukaryotic small subunit ribosomal RNA", at positions 853 to 1831 of the family's 1831-position model. The record is from RNAcentral.